RNAcentral lists this non-coding RNA (30 nucleotides) under Rattus norvegicus (Norway rat). The record is from RNAcentral. Lineage: Eukaryota; Metazoa; Chordata; Mammalia; Rodentia; Muridae.
UGUGAUGCGCCCUCCCAUACUUGUCUACAU